UACGUAGGUGGUUAAGUAAGUCGAGCGUGAAAUCCAUUGGCUCAACCAAUGAACUGCACUCGAAACUGCAUAACUUGAGUUCAGGAGAGGAAAGCGGAAUUCCCGGUGUAAGAGUGAAAUCUGUAGAGAUCGGGAGGAACACCAGUGGCGAAGGCGGCUUUCUGGACUGAUACUGACACUGAAAUACGAAAGCUAGGGGAGCAAACAGGAUUAGAUACCCUGGUAGUCC
This 229-nucleotide ribosomal RNA is filed under the name uncultured bacterium. Its description in RNAcentral is "partial 16S ribosomal RNA". It matches the Rfam family "Bacterial small subunit ribosomal RNA", at positions 568 to 796 of the family's 1533-position model. The record is from RNAcentral.